Molecule: ribosomal RNA, 800 nt
Filed under: Bacillus sp. K99
Lineage: Bacteria; Bacillati; Bacillota; Bacilli; Caryophanales; Bacillaceae
Description: bacterial SSU rRNA
Rfam family: Bacterial small subunit ribosomal RNA
Source: RNAcentral
CGAGCGGACAGAAGGGAGCUUGCUCCCGGAUGUUAGCGGCGGACGGGUGAGUAACACGUGGGUAACCUGCCUGUAAGACUGGGAUAACUCCGGGAAACCGGAGCUAAUACCGGAUAGUUCCUUGAACCGCAUGGUUCAAGGAUGAAAGACGGUUUCGGCUGUCACUUACAGAUGGACCCGCGGCGCAUUAGCUAGUUGGUGAGGUAACGGCUCACCAAGGCGACGAUGCGUAGCCGACCUGAGAGGGUGAUCGGCCACACUGGGACUGAGACACGGCCCAGACUCCUACGGGAGGCAGCAGUAGGGAAUCUUCCGCAAUGGACGAAAGUCUGACGGAGCAACGCCGCGUGAGUGAUGAAGGUUUUCGGAUCGUAAAGCUCUGUUGUUAGGGAAGAACAAGUGCAAGAGUAACUGCUUGCACCUUGACGGUACCUAACCAGAAAGCCACGGCUAACUACGUGCCAGCAGCCGCGGUAAUACGUAGGUGGCAAGCGUUGUCCGGAAUUAUUGGGCGUAAAGGGCUCGCAGGCGGUUUCUUAAGUCUGAUGUGAAAGCCCCCGGCUCAACCGGGGAGGGUCAUUGGAAACUGGGAAACUUGAGUGCAGAAGAGGAGAGUGGAAUUCCACGUGUAGCGGUGAAAUGCGUAGAGAUGUGGAGGAACACCAGUGGCGAAGGCGACUCUCUGGUCUGUAACUGACGCUGAGGAGCGAAAGCGUGGGGAGCGAACAGGAUUAGAUACCCUGGUAGUCCACGCCGUAAACGAUGAGUGCUAAGUGUUAGGGGGUUUCCGCCCCUUAGUG